UACGUAGGGUGCGAGCGUUAAUCGGAAUUACUGGGCGUAAAGCGUGCGCAGGCGGUUUUGUAAGCCAGAUGUGAAAUCCCCGGGCUUAACCUGGGAAUGGCAUUUGGGACUGCAAGGCUUGAGUUUGGCAGAGGAGACUGGAAUUCCUGGUGUAGCAGUGAAAUGCGUAGAUAUCAGGAGGAAUACCGAUGGCGAAAGGCAGGUCGCUGGGCUGACACUGAC
Molecule: ribosomal RNA, 222 nt
Filed under: uncultured bacterium
Lineage: Bacteria
Description: partial 16S ribosomal RNA
Rfam family: Bacterial small subunit ribosomal RNA
Source: RNAcentral